GUUCACUUUGGCAGCACUUAUACUAAAAUUGGAAUGAUACAGAGAAGAUUAGCAUAGCACUCCUGCAAGGAUGUCAUGCAAAUUCAGGAUUCAGAGGGUGCAUUU
Molecule: small nuclear RNA, 105 nt
Organism: Suncus etruscus (white-toothed pygmy shrew)
Lineage: Eukaryota; Metazoa; Chordata; Mammalia; Eulipotyphla; Soricidae
Source: RefSeq, a predicted model, not a curated record